Molecule: long non-coding RNA, 1676 nt
Organism: Hemibagrus wyckioides
Lineage: Eukaryota; Metazoa; Chordata; Actinopteri; Siluriformes; Bagridae
Exons: 3
Source: RefSeq, a predicted model, not a curated record
UCCACUUCUCUCAUCAGACGUAAGCACAUCUCUUCCUGCCAGGGCCGAGCCACACACUACACUGCUAUCGGCAGACCCACACCGCCUUGUAUCGCCUGUAACACACAUACACACACACAUCAUCAUCAUCAGUGUGUGCCUGCUGUGAGCCACAUCUCCACUGAUUUAAUGUCUGCCUACAUUAAAUAUAUUUUUUCUGAUAUAUUUUAUUUUUGUGAUUCUGCUGCUGUUUUGUUGUUUAUUAUUCUGAUGUUCAAUUCCAUAUUAAUGUGAUAUCCAGCACACUCCUAUCUCGACUUCUCAGAACUCACAGCAGCAUAGAAACACAGCAGUUAGGGACUACAAUCCUCAGAACAGCACUCGGCCGACACGUUCAUCAUCUCCUGAGAUUUAAUCACACACACACACACUUGUUUGUCAUGAAACUCGCGCUGUAAUUAAACGGAGCUGAGACACUGGAUCGGUGUGGAGUAAGACUUAUCUGUCCAGCCGCAGAUGCCACAGAAAGCUGCUGGGAUGCGGAUGCUUCCUCCAAGGUCAGAUCCCAGACCCAGAAUAGAUCCUCCUGCAGCGAUCAGAGCACCUUCACCUCCUGAAGAGCCACCAGACUCUCUGUGAGGACAGCAUUGCCACAGUUCAGUUUCUUGUGCACCUCCAGAGCCUGUAAAACACAGGACAAGCUGAGAAUAUAGCACUUUAAAAAUACACGUUUAGCCUUGGAUCCCUUACAAUUUCAUUCAAAUGCGACAAUGGAAUGUUUCUAUUUUAAAAGCAGAAAUGUUUCAAUUUGAUUAAUUACUCCUGGUGAAAUGUAAUAUAUUCACAAAUUAAACAUCUCACUGCACUUUCGUCCCGAUUGUUAAUUUUUGGUGUUCAGCAAAAUUCUGGGUCCCAACAAAAUGGCAAGCUUCAAUUGGAGUCAAUGGGUGUGUGGGUUUAGCACAGAAAAAAAUAUAUGUAUGUUUACAGCAAUUGGCAGAUGUCUUUAUCCAGAGUUUCUCCAUCAAUGAAUAGAUCCUUAUACUGGUUCAUGAGGUCAUAGACUAUAGAUACCAUCGGUCUUAAACUUUGUUUGGAGGAAAUAUAGUAAGUAUAGAGAUAAUGGAGUUUUUAAGUUACUUUUUAAGUGCUAGUUCAAGUACUGUAGGUCUUUAGAUGUCAUACUUCCUGUGACUCAGCUGUUUGGGGGCAGUGGAGGCUCAAGUGGUUAAGGCUCUAGGUUGUUUGUUUGGAGGAUCGGGGUUCAAGCCUUUGCAUCACCAAGCUGCCACUGUUGGGCAAAUGAGCAUAGCUGCCCCUGCACUCUGACCCCAACUUCCUCAGCUGGAAUACACAAAGAAAUUCCACUGUGCUAUAAUGUGUGUGGCGAUAAUAAAGGCUUCUUGCCCCCAGUUCUUCUUCAUCUUAUUGAACAUCUAGGGGAAGUUCAAAGCUAUUUUUGCAGUGUUUUAAAUCUGAUGCAGCAGCUUCAGUAAUCCAGUGGAGGGAGUGUAGCAAUAGCGUGGUGUGGGAGAACUUCCGAAGGUUGAAAACAGGACACGCAGCUGUAUUCUGGAUAAUGUUCAAAAAAUAUCAGUGGAAAAGCAAUAUUUGUUGGACAUCACGUGGCCUGAGCUACUCAUGAUGCAGGGAAGACUUCUCAAAGUGGUGGAUCCUUGUAACUAUCAAUCACUGAC